GUGAGCUAAUAUUCAUCCCUAUGCCGUGUCUGCUAAGAUGAAUGUGGGAGUUGUUGAGUACGGUGUAUGUGUAAUUCUGUUAAAUGUUUAUGUAUGUCGAUGUAUCAAUAUUUUUGUGUUUUUUUCGAGUCUCAUUCUGAAUGAGUAUUUUUCCGUGAAAAUGUGCUCAUCUAUAAAGACGUCAAAUUCAGUGGCUUUCGUUGCCCCAUAUUGAGAAAAAAAUGUUACACUUCAUUAUGAUACCUAUACUGUUCAUAAAAGCUGCGGUACUGAUCGAUCAAUAUCUUGAAGAAUUCGACGGAAAAUAUCUCUAUAAGCUGAAGAAAUAAAAAUUUAUCGGAAAAUUGAUUGGGAACCACUCAAGACAUAACAAAACCAAAUCAGUAACAUGCAAAACUGGCUUCCCCUACUCAAUUUAUUGAAUUUGAGUUCGGGAAGAACGAAGUAAAAUUGAAUUUUGAAUUUUCAUCAAUCAUCGUGUGGAAGAGUACGUCGUUUAUGUAUACAAAUUUGCAUCACUAGCAUAAUAUUCCGGAAAUUUAUAUGCAAUUUUUUGCAAACAAUAUUAUACCUAUGUACAUAGGUACUCUGCAUUUCAAGUUUCUUUGCGAUCAGUCGGAGUGAUUCUAUGGAUUGGCCUACAUAGUUGUGAAUGGAUUUAGAAAUUAUGACCAAAGCCUAUGCAUUGUUUCUGCUUACUUUUUUCUUAAUGUACCUAUAUAAUUUAAAUUUUGAAAAAUCAAAUCAAAAUGACCCGAACGAAGUGAGGGCAAAAGCUCCCGAAAUUUCAUGUUUCAAGAAGUAGAAAAACAUUUUUCUUCUAUUUGUUGAGGAGUUUAUUUAUUGAUUUAAACAUUUUUUGAGUUUGAAUGAUAGAAAAACUAACAGGGCUGAGCGAAGUAAGAGCAGAAGUUUUCAAAAAUUUAUAAUUCAAGUAAGUGCCUGGUGAAUUAUUAUUUUCUUACAAAAAGUCGAUUUCUUUACAUUUGACAUUUUUAAAAGUUAGGUGUCUACCUACCUACCUAGUACAGAUACAUAUUUCCCAGAUGCAGAAAUUCAGGAACAGAAAAACUGUAUUUAGCCUGAGCGAAGCGAUUAGGGGAAAAAAUCUCAAAAAUGUGCGAAUCAGGUUCCAAACAAGUAUGCAAAUACUCAAGUCUCUUUAUGAAGUUAAAACAUUUCCAAAAUUUAUCGACCUCGUCAAACGAUUUGCCGUCUUUUUCAAAGUUGACUACUUAGUCUCGUCUCUGGAUCUUUUAUCAGUUUUUUUUUUUAUUUUUUAAUUUGAAAUUUCAAGUACCUAUUGAGUUUACUUGAGCGAAAAACAUACUCACGAUUUAAAACUCUACUUGUAGAGAAAACUUGACCCACAUUUUUGAAGAAAUUAACUAAAAUUACUUUUAAAAUGUUUAUUCUACUACAGUGAAAGGCAUUUCAAUUUAAACUUUCCACACCUACAGCAAGAAUUCGAAAAUGAAAAUAUUUGUAGAAUCUUCAUUAUACCUAUCGCACAAAAUGUGAUGAAAUUUACCUAUUCCAAUCUAUAGUAGAUUUUAAUAUGUAUUUCAAGAUUAUGUUCUGAUAAAAUUUCAUCCAUACCCUUUUGUUUUGCCAAAAAAUCGAAAAACUAUACCUAAUUAAUUCUCCUGCACUAGGUCGAGGUAUUUGACUUCGUCAUGAAUUUCGUGGAGAUAUGACGCAAUAUUGAUGAAAUGUAUGAAAAAGAUAUAUUCCGGUGAGUGGUGUACUAGGCAACCAGUUUAUCACUUCAGAUUUUAAGAUCACAUAGGUAUAGUGAAGUGUAGGUCUAGGUACGUAGUAAGUAAGUUUUUAUCGGUUUUCGGUUUUCUCAAGAAGUGCGAAAGUGAACAGAAGUCGUUUUAACAAUAUUUAUGAUUAUUUAAAUCUAGUAAUAGCGAAAAAGAGGACAUUUUUUGAGGGGAGCGGACGAAAAAUUUGCCAUAAGAAAAAAAUGACAAGUUAUUAAAGAGAAAUAAAAGAUGAAAUGACAAUUUUGUCAAUUGAUAUAAUCGCAUUUGGGCUUACGAAAAAUUCUUACUUAUUUUACGUUUUGAAUUUAUGGAAGUUUCAAUUUUUUUUUUUUGUUUAGAGGAGAAAUAGAAAUUGACCCGAGCAAGAAAAAUAAACACACAGACCCAAGUGAAGUGAGGGUAGAAAAUUUCAAAAAUUUGUAUUUUGAGAGGUAAAAACAAUGUUUUUUGUAGUGACUGAUGAGUUUAAGUUUUGACCGCAUAGUUUUAUAAUUAAAAAUCAUGACUUGAUUUCGGGGUCUGAGUCCUUCAAAAAUGCCCCAAAAAAUAUUUUCGUCAGAAUAUUAGAAUUCCCCACCAAUUUUUUCAAAACUCCCAAAAGUCAAAACCCAAUUUCGGGCUCAAAAUUUUUCAAAAAUGCUAAAAGAAAAAAGAAACAGUUUUGUCGCUAUAAAUUGAGCAAGAAUGGCAAAAUACAUCGUUGAAACUUCUUCAAACACAAAUAAAAACCCUAAAGACACUGUGGACACUUCUGGUGAAGCGUAAAAUUCUCUUAUGUUGUGCCUUUAUUAUACGUAUUCCUAAAAAUAGGCUAUAAAAGUGUUAAAAACGUGUCAAAAUGACUCAAAAAGACUCAAAAAGCUAUCAAAUUUCUGCAUACCGCUGAAGAAAAGAUAACAUUUCUGUUAAGUAGGUAGAUGAUAUAUCUGCGUAGAAAGAUAUAAUUUGCAACAAUUCUUUAAAACAUCGUUAAAAUUACCUAAAAACAUGAAAAUCACAAAAAAGUUAAGAAAAUUCAAUAAAAUUCGCAUAAAAUUCAUGAAGAUGUGUGUAAAAACACUCAAAAACGCAUUAAAAUUACCAAUCGGGGAGAAUCAUUAAAGGUGGACGAAAUUUCAGUAAAUUUACACAAAAUGCAAACAAAAUCGAAUAAAAAUUCGUCUAUUGAGAUGUUCAGCUGAAACUGAAAACUAAACUACGAGUACCUACCUUUUAUUGUGUAUUUUUUUGCACACUGCCAUCUCGGUUUCCGAGAGAUGAAACUUUGAACUUCGGGAAAGAAAGUAUAGUUACACUCAAAAGAUGUGGGAUGUUGAUAUAUUGGGAUAGUUCACAAGGUAGUAAAUUUUCGAUGAAAAUAAUGAUAUGUACUUAGAUAUCAUUUUGAGAUUUUCAGUUUGUUCAAAAUUGUACCCUCAAGAAAGUUUUUCAUUAAAAAUAUAGGUUGGCAACGUGAAAUAGAUGCAUAUGAUUGGUGAAAUGUUAUCUCUCCAGUCCAACAACCAAUCAUGCGCUAUCAUUAUUAUCAUUCACUGUGACCAACCGAAGUAUUUUAUCAGAAAACUUUUUUAGGAGUACUCGAUAUUUCUGGGCACCCUGUAUUGGUUGUUGGGUAUGAAAUGUAAGUACUUCGGAACACGUUAAUGAAAAUUAUUAGGUAGGUACCUACCUAAUUAUAAGAGGAAUGAAUGUAAUUUUUUCUGCUUCAAAGUGAUAAUAGAUAACUUUACGAAAUUGUUUUUGAGCCAGAAGGCCUUAUGAUGAAUAGAACGAAAAAUACCAUUCUCAAAAUGCAAAAAUUGCAAAAAAUGCACAUGUGGAUCCGAUAAAAAAAACACCCUCAGAGCUGAUAUUUGGUAAAUUUGUACUACCUGAGUCAUGGAUUUUUUUCAUCUACUUAUUUUGAUCCGUUGUCACAUUAUAGGGGUCUGCCUCCUUGAAGGGGCGGUGGUGGUAUGCGAUGAAUCUAACACUUUGAGCGAAACAUGGCGAUCAAUACUGAACAGUAAAUGGCUUAUUACCUAUUUCAAUUCUGAUGGAAUUUCCACUAGUAAAAAUUUCUUGCAAUUUGGUGUUCUACUGGGGCACAUAAAGAGGGGAGUCGUGUAAUUUUUUGCACAGUGUAUUACUUUAUUCAACAAAUAUUUCUUACCAUAACAAAAAGAAUUAACAUUUGGCUCAUCAUUUCCACCAUGUUUUAGCAUUAUAACGGCAAUUUUGGGCGUUUUUCAAGUUUGAGUCGCCACUGGAGGCAGAGGAGGAGAAAACAAAAAAUUGAACCACCAAAAUUAUUUGUAUGCUUUACAUAGUGGUAUAUCGAUGGUUCCAAUGAUGAAAAUAGAAAGUGCUAAUCAAUAUCUAACAACAUACAUCAUAGUCCAUAAUAUUUGAUUUCUGAUCAAAAUUCGAUCCACAGAAAUUGUAUCAAAAUUGUAAGCCCCACACCCCUCGAAGGAGAGGGAGCCUGAGUGGCUCUCCCCUCCUCAAAAAAUGAAAACUGACCGUUCCUUGCUUCAUUCAUCAAGACACCUACAAUACAUAAGUACAAGUUAUGGGGAAACAACUAUUAACCAUUGAUUUUUAUAAAAUCAUUUUAUUCUGGAGCCAACAGAAAAUAUUUAUGUAGGGCCCUGACCUGCCGAACUCCCCCCUUCCCCAUUGUUAUUUUGAUGAAAAAUCAAGUCACCGAUGCAUAAUAUUUCACUCUUGAAAUAAAAUUACCUAUAGCACGAAAAAUGGCAUUUUUCGUCAAUUUGUUGACAAAUCGGAGGGGAGGGGGAUUUUCUCACAUAUUCGUCUACAAAUUGGUAAAAUAUUCCAAAAAUGCAAAAAUUUUCAUUUUUUAGGAUUCUGAUACGGUACCUACUUUUGCAACAACUGUAAAACUUUUUAAUUUUUUUUUCUCGAAAAUGAAAAAAAAUGCCAGUCCAAUUUUUUGAUAUGUUAUUCUACAUGAAAAGGACUAAAACUGAGAAUUUUUUUUAGAAUUUUUACUGGGGGACAUCACGGUUAUAUUUGAAUUAUAAGUUUUUAAAUCGAUUUUUUUAGAUUUUUGAAAGUGGCAACACUGAUUUUGGCAUCAUUCGUCAAUUACCCUCUCAAAGUACUACAAUUUGAAAAAAACUUGAAAAUUCUAUACCGCGUACAACCGGAGCAAUUUGCAACUGAAAUUUUCCAUUUUCGGCCAUUUUGGAGGAUUUUGAAGCGCCACAGCUCCGUCAAAAAAAAUCGAAAAAAUGUCCGGUUUGCGUCAUUCGUCAUCGUUUGAUGACCUCUACAAAUGAUCUGAUUUUGAAAAAAAUCGAAGACCCUCUCGUGCAAAAAUCCGCCGAUUUGCCAUGGAAUGACCCAUCAGCAUUUGGUGAAAAAUUUGAAAAUUAAGAAAAAAACACAUUUUAGCCCCCCCACCUCCCCAAUACUUGCUUAAGGGGUCCAAAAUUUUCAUCGCAGUUUUUUCUCAUAGUGGUUGACCUUUUGAGGCAGAAGCGGUUAAUACCUGUUUCAAGGGCGAAAUAAACUUUUGAAGCAUUCUGGAGACAGAAUAAAGCAUUUUACAGAAAAAGGAAGUCGAAGGAAAAUUGUAGAGAAUUAAAUUUCCAACUAUCAUAUUAAUGUCCUUGGUUUUUUUUUUCUAGAAUGCUUAAUUUUCGAUGUACAUAUUUGAAAAAGAAAGUACAUGAAUACAAGAACGGCAUUUUUUCUAUUUUCAUCAAAACUUUAGUGUUUCCAAACUUCCAAAAAAUUGCAUAAAAAUUCCAAAAUGAGCGCUCAAACCUUUUAAAGCUUUAUGCAGAAGUGCAGGCGGAUACAAAAAAUGAACUUGAAGAAACAUUGUAGAGAAUUAAAUUUCUAAUCGUCAUAAUGUCAUUGUUUUUUUUUAUAGGUGACUUAGUUUUUGAUAAGUAUAAAAUAAAUAUUGAAAUGCAAUUAUCUCAAAAUUAAUUUUAUUGCACUGAGCUUCUUUGCAUUUUUGUGAUACAUUUUUAGACUCCCUUUACUCCUCAAACAAAUUAUUGGAAAGGGUGGAUUUUCGCACUAGUUGGUAGUAAACAUACCUAUCAAAUAAUGCUACUGUAAUGUGCCAUGAUUUUUGCCGUUCUUCACUAAUACCUACCUAAGAAUUGGACACAAAACAAAUAUUUGAAUGCGAUUAUCUCGAAAUCAAGUUUUUGGCACUAUUAGCUCCUUUUGAACUCUUGCAAUAUUUACAAAUGCCUAUGAGCUCAUAUAAAAAUUUAAUUACACUCUCGGCUAAACGCACUGCAUACAGGCUUUCCAAUUAAUGCAUAAAAUAAGAAUAAAUGAUUCAAUUCAAUUCAUUUUAUUGGAGUUGACAGCUUCCGAUUUACAUAUUUACCUAUACAAUGGCAAUGCAACAACAAUAUGAACACAAAAAAUGAAUUACAUAAUAGAUAAAAUUGAAUUAGUAUAAUUAUAGUUACAUAUGUAUAUCAUUAAACAUGGUACAGGUACAGGAAAAAAAAUGAAUGAAAAGCACAAAUAAUCUUAGAAAUCAUUUUAGAAAAACUCUUUUGUAAGAACCUUUUUUUGAAUACCUAUGUUAUAAAACGUUUGAAAUAAGAAAAAAAAAACAAAAAACAAAA
This is a long non-coding RNA of Planococcus citri (citrus mealybug), 6376 nucleotides long. RefSeq lists it as uncharacterized. Lineage: Eukaryota; Metazoa; Arthropoda; Insecta; Hemiptera; Pseudococcidae. The transcript has 4 exons. The record is from RefSeq and is a predicted model, not a curated record.